GAUGAAGAACGUAGCGGAAUGCGAUAAGUAAUGUGAAUUGCAGAAUUCAGUGAAUCAUCGAAUCUUUGAACGCACAUUGCGCCCGCCAGUAUUCUGGCGGGCAUGCCUGUUCGAGCGUCAUUACAACCCUCAGGCCCCCGGGCCUGGCGUUGGGGAUCGGCGGAGCCCCCCGUGGGCACACGCCGUCCCCCAAAUGCAGUGGCGGUCCCGCCGCAGCUUCCAUCGCGUAGUAGCUAACACCUCGCGACUGGAGAGCGGCGCGGCCACGCCGUAAAACACCCAACUCUUCUGAAGUUGACCUCGAAUCAGGUAGGAAUACCCGCUGAACUUAAGCAUAUCAAUAAGCGGAGGA
This 352-nucleotide unclassified non-coding RNA is filed under the name soil metagenome. RNAcentral's name for it is "partial contains 5.8S ribosomal RNA, internal transcribed spacer 2, and large subunit ribosomal RNA". The stretch from base 1 to 120 matches the Rfam family "5.8S ribosomal RNA", at positions 35 to 154 of the family's 154-position model. The record is from RNAcentral.